UACAGAGGGGGCAAGCGUUAUUCGGAAUUAUUGGGCGUAAAGGGCGCGUAGGCGGCCUGCUAAGUCGAACGUGAAAUCCCUGGGCUCAACCCAGGAACUGCGUCCGAUACUGGUUGGCUUGAAUCCGGGAGAGGGAUGUGGAAUUCCAGGUGUAGCGGUGAAAUGCGUAGAUAUCUGGAGGAACACCGGUGGCGAAGGCGACAUCCUGGACCGGUAUUGACGCUGAGGCGCGAAAGCCAGGGGAGCAAACGGG
RNAcentral lists this ribosomal RNA (253 nucleotides) under uncultured bacterium. RNAcentral's name for it is "partial 16S ribosomal RNA". It matches the Rfam family "Bacterial small subunit ribosomal RNA", at positions 524 to 776 of the family's 1533-position model. The record is from RNAcentral.